AACGAACGCUGGCGGCAGGCCUAACACAUGCAAGUCGAGCGAGGACUUCGGUCCUAGCGGCGGACGGGUGAGUAACGCGUGGGAACGUGCCCUUUGCUUCGGAAUAGCCCUGGGAAACUGGGAGUAAUACCGGAUGAGCCCUUUGGGGGAAAGAUUUAUCGGCGAAGGAUCGGCCCGCGUUGGAUUAGGUAGUUGGUGGGGUAAUGGCCUACCAAGCCGACGAUCCAUAGCUGGUUUGAGAGGAUGAUCAGCCACACUGGGACUGAGACACGGCCCAGACUCCUACGGGAGGCAGCAGUGGGGAAUCUUAGACAAUGGGGGAAACCCUGAUCGAGCCAUGCCGCGUGAGCGAUGAAGGCCUUAGGGUUGUAAAGCUCUUUCAGCUGGGAAGAUAAUGACGGUACCAGAAGAAGAAGCCACGGCUAACUCCGUG
This 433-nucleotide ribosomal RNA is filed under the name uncultured bacterium. Its description in RNAcentral is "partial 16S ribosomal RNA". It matches the Rfam family "Bacterial small subunit ribosomal RNA", at positions 29 to 507 of the family's 1533-position model. The record is from RNAcentral.